RNAcentral lists this unclassified non-coding RNA (238 nucleotides) under Hevea brasiliensis (rubber tree). Lineage: Eukaryota; Viridiplantae; Streptophyta; Magnoliopsida; Malpighiales; Euphorbiaceae. The record is from RNAcentral.
GGGAAAAGGAUUAAGAUUGAGGAAAAUUUAAUAAAAGGGGUGGGCUAGGACCGAGGGAAUUAGGAUUCAAUUAAAAUAUAAAAAAUAUAAAAUUAGGAUGGUUGUGGUUAAGAAGAGGGGAUCAAAGAUUGCGGGAGCAGUUCUGUAAUAAUCCAUAUAUGAAUAAUUUAAAUAAUGGAAUGAGGUUACAUAUUUGGUUGUAGAUCUCGCCGAAUGAUUUGGAUUAUUCAUAUAUGGA